CACGAAGCUGGAAUCGCUAGUAAUCGCGGAUCAGCACGCCGCGGUGAAUACGUUCCCGGGCCUUGUACACACCGCCCGUCACACCAUGAGAGUCUGUAACACCCAAAGCCGGUGGGAUAACCUUUAUAGGAGUCAGCCGUCUAAGGUAGGACAGAUGAUUAGGGUGAAGUCGUAACAAGGUAAC
Molecule: ribosomal RNA, 184 nt
Filed under: uncultured bacterium
Lineage: Bacteria
Description: partial 16S ribosomal RNA
Rfam family: Bacterial small subunit ribosomal RNA
Source: RNAcentral